Molecule: long non-coding RNA, 352 nt
Organism: Prionailurus viverrinus (fishing cat)
Lineage: Eukaryota; Metazoa; Chordata; Mammalia; Carnivora; Felidae
Exons: 3
Source: RefSeq, a predicted model, not a curated record
AAUAAAUGGAGCCAACUUGAUACCAGAGUGAGCCUGGAGUUUGGGGCCACAGAAAAAUGAUGCCCACAGCAUGCAGGGAAAUCAUGGUAGCUGCACUGAGGGGAAGAAAAACAGAGCCCAGUGAACCCAGCCAUUUCAAAUCCAAAUUGGCUUCAACUAUUAAGAGGAGACAAAUGGAACAACAGAAUCAGAGAAGCAGACUUAGGGUCAUCGAAUGUGGCUCCCCAAGGAUGCAGCCUGAAGAUGACUAAGAGCUUCUGGGAGGUAGAGAGACUUGUCCUAAAAAUCCAUGACCAAAAUACUAAUAUUUGUGUGUAAACAGUCCAUUCUAAUUCAGUUCAAGACAUUAUUU